AAUAAAUAUAACUGUCAUCAUCUUUGUCAUACACUGUUGACAACUCAAGUGUACUGGAUUUUUGCUGGGAGUAGUCAACUGCCUUGGGAGGUCAAGUCAUACUGAUAAUCUCUAUUUUUGUAACUGACAAGUCAGAUAGUGAAUCUGAAGAAAUGUUUUAGAUGCAAUGAAGUCAAAUUCUUGACUUGUCAUUACUUGGCAAUGUUCCUUCUAAGUAAUGCAUCCAUACCUCUCAAGAAGUUAGUGGAAUGUUUGGGCCUUACCUCCACCACCUCCUCAUAUUCUUCUUCUUCUGCCAUCUUUGCAGCGAGCCUCUCACCUACUCACUGACCAUAAAACAAGAACAGAUCAACAUUAGAUCAUUGAACUCAGUGCUACACAUUACUAGUCAUAGGCAUGCAUGCAUCAUGGUUCAGAAGCUGCAAAAUGAGCCACCAAACUAUUUAUUCUGAAUCGAAUCAUCAAUGUAGAAAUCCUGGAAGUCAUCUAAUCCAGACUCGUGUAAGGAAGUGCCCUGCAGGAUCAGACAGGCAUCCAGAGUGGGGACAUAGGAAUAAACCUCCCAGAUACCAAUAAUGUGAAUGCA
This 586-nucleotide long non-coding RNA is filed under the name Pogona vitticeps (central bearded dragon). RNAcentral describes it as "lncRNA (ENSPVIG00000015821.1)". The record is from RNAcentral. Lineage: Eukaryota; Metazoa; Chordata; Lepidosauria; Squamata; Agamidae.